UGGGGAAUCUUGGACAAUGGGGGCAACCCUGAUCCAGCGAUGCCGCGUGAGUGAAGAAGGCCUUCGGGUUGUAAAGCUCUUUCACCUGUGACGAUAAUGACGGUAGCAGGAGAAGAAGCACCGGCUAACUCCGUGCCAGCAGCCGCGGUAAGACGGAGGGUGCUAGCGUUGUUCGGAAUGACUGGGCGUAAAGGGCGCGUAGGUGGCUGAUAUAGUCAGGCGUGAAAGCCCCGGGCUUAACCUGGGAACUGCGUUUGAUACUGAUCGGCUAGAGGACGAGAGAGGAAAGUGGAAUACCGAGUGUAGAGGUGAAAUUCGUAGAUAUUCGGUGGAACAUCAGAGGCGAAGGCGGCUUUCUGGCUCGUUACUGACGCUGAGGCGCGAAAGCGUGGGGAGCAAA
This 400-nucleotide ribosomal RNA is filed under the name uncultured bacterium. RNAcentral's name for it is "bacterial SSU rRNA". It matches the Rfam family "Bacterial small subunit ribosomal RNA", at positions 355 to 772 of the family's 1533-position model. The record is from RNAcentral.